RNAcentral lists this ribosomal RNA (425 nucleotides) under uncultured bacterium. Its description in RNAcentral is "partial 16S ribosomal RNA". It matches the Rfam family "Bacterial small subunit ribosomal RNA", at positions 359 to 776 of the family's 1533-position model. The record is from RNAcentral.
GAAUAUUGGACAAUGGGGGCAACCCUGAUCCAGCCAUGCCGCGUGUGUGAAGAAGGCCUUUUGGUUGUAAAGCACUUUAAGCAGUGAAGAAGACUCCAUGGUUAAUACCCAUGGACGAUGACAUUAGCUGCAGGAUAAGCACCGGCUAACUCUGUGCCAGCAGCCGCGGUAAUACAGAGGGUGCAAGCGUUAAUCGGAAUUACUGGGCGUAAAGCGCGCGUGGGUGGUUUGUUAAGUUGGAAGUGAAAUCCCCGGGCUUAACCUGGGAACUGCAUCUGAUACUGUUAGGCUAGAAUAGGUGAGAGGAAGGUAGAAUUCCAGGUGCAGCGGUGAAAUGCGUAGAGAUCUGGAGGAAUACCGAUGGCGAAGGCAGCCUUCUGGCAUCAUAUUGACACUGAGGUUCGAAAGCGUGGGUAGCAAACAGG